RNAcentral lists this ribosomal RNA (301 nucleotides) under uncultured bacterium. RNAcentral describes it as "partial 16S ribosomal RNA". It matches the Rfam family "Bacterial small subunit ribosomal RNA", at positions 509 to 807 of the family's 1533-position model. The record is from RNAcentral.
CAGUAGCCACGGUAAUACGAAGGGUGCAAGCGUUACUCGGAAUUACUGGGCGUAAAGCGUGCGUAGGUGGUGGUUUAAGUCCGUUGUGAAAGCCCUGGGCUCAACCUGGGAAUUGCAGUGGAUACUGGAUCACUAGAGUGUGGUAGAGGACAGUGGAAUUUCCGGUGUAGCGGUGAAAUGCGUAGAGAUCGGAAGGAACAUCUGUGGCGAAGGCGACUAUCUGGGCCAACACUGACACUGAGGCACGAAAGCGUGGGGAGCAAACAGGAUUAGAUACCCCUGUAGUCCCUGUCUCUUAUAC